This 294-nucleotide ribosomal RNA is filed under the name uncultured bacterium. Its description in RNAcentral is "partial 16S ribosomal RNA". It matches the Rfam family "Bacterial small subunit ribosomal RNA", at positions 30 to 329 of the family's 1533-position model. The record is from RNAcentral.
CCUGAACGCUGGCGGCGUGGCUAAGACAUGCAAGUCGAACGGGCCUAGCAAUAGGUCAGUGGCGGACGGGUGAGUAAUGUAUCGCUAAUGUACCCUAGAGCCAGGGAUAGCUGCCCGAAAGGGCAGGUAAUACCUGAUGAAAUAACUUGGUCGCAUGACCGAGGUCUCAAAGCAGCAAUGCACUCCUGGAGCAGGCGAUAUCGUANCAGCUAGUUGGUGAGGUAACGGCUCACCAAGGCGACGACGCGUAGCCGGGCUGAGAGGUUGACCGGCCACAUUGGGACUGAGACACUG